RNAcentral lists this transfer RNA (87 nucleotides) under Danio rerio (zebrafish). It matches the Rfam family "tRNA". From Rfam's summary of the family: Transfer RNA (tRNA) molecules are approximately 80 nucleotides in length. Their secondary structure includes four short double-helical elements and three loops (D, anti-codon, and T loops). Further hydrogen bonds mediate the characteristic L-shaped molecular structure. tRNAs have two regions of fundamental functional importance: the anti-codon, which is responsible for specific mRNA codon recognition, and the 3' end, to which the tRNAs corresponding amino acid is attached (by aminoacyl-tRNA synthetases). tRNAs cope with the degeneracy of the genetic code in two manners: having more than one tRNA (with a specific anti-codon) for a particular amino acid; and 'wobble' base-pairing, i.e. permitting non-standard base-pairing at the 3rd anti-codon position. Lineage: Eukaryota; Metazoa; Chordata; Actinopteri; Cypriniformes; Danionidae. The record is from Rfam by way of RNAcentral.
GGCUCUGUGGCGCAAUGGAUAGCGCAUUGGACAUAGGCUGUGAGCUGAGCCAUUCAAAGGUUGUGGGUUCGAGUCCCACCAGAGUUG